GAGCGCGGGCGGUACCCGCAGCCCCGGGAGCUUGGCGGCGGCGGCGGAGGGUCCCCAUGGCCCUCCCGGCGGAGGCGGCCCGGCUGGAUGGGGGCUGGCAGGAGGUCUACUCGGCUCUCCAGUGGAUACAGUUCACCAUGGCCAUGCUCAGUGUUAUAGGUUCCAGCUCAAUUAUUGCCUAUGCCAUCUUUCAAAAUGUGGUGCGG
Molecule: long non-coding RNA, 206 nt
Organism: Calidris pugnax (ruff)
Lineage: Eukaryota; Metazoa; Chordata; Aves; Charadriiformes; Scolopacidae
Exons: 3
Source: RefSeq, a predicted model, not a curated record